CGCUGGCGGCGUGCCUAAUACAUGCAAGUCGAACGGUCUUUCUAUGGAAGCUUGCUUCCACUGAGAAGAUAGUGGCGAACGGGUGAGUAACACGUGGGUAACCUGCCCAUAAGAGGGGGAUAACAUCCGGAAACGGGUGCUAAUACCGCAUAGUUUUCUUGAUCGCAUGAUCGGGAAAGGAAAGACGGCCUUUGUGCUGUCGCUUAUGGAUGGACCCGCGGCGUAUUAGUUAGUUGGUGAGGUAAUGGCUCACCAAGACGAUGAUACGUAGCCGACCUGAGAGGGUGAUCGGCCACAUUGGGACUGAGACACGGCCCAAACUCCUACGGGAGGCAGCAGUAGGGAAUCUUCCGCAAUGGACGAAAGUCUGACGGAGCAACGCCGCGUGAGUGAAGAAGGUUUUCGGAAUCGUAAAACUCUGUUGUCAGAGAAGAACAAGUUGGAGAGUAACUGCUCCAGCCUUGACGGUAUCUGACCAGAAAGCCACGGCUAACUACGUGCCAGCAGCUGC
This 511-nucleotide ribosomal RNA is filed under the name uncultured bacterium. RNAcentral's name for it is "bacterial SSU rRNA". It matches the Rfam family "Bacterial small subunit ribosomal RNA", at positions 34 to 518 of the family's 1533-position model. The record is from RNAcentral.